GUCAGUUUGUCCGAGUGGUCUAAGGGGUUACGUUCAGGUCGUAAUGUGUUCGAACGCGUGAGUUCUAAUCUCACAGCUGACA
RNAcentral lists this transfer RNA (82 nucleotides) under Phytophthora infestans T30-4. RNAcentral describes it as "tRNA-Leu". It matches the Rfam family "tRNA". From Rfam's summary of the family: Transfer RNA (tRNA) molecules are approximately 80 nucleotides in length. The record is from RNAcentral. Lineage: Eukaryota; Oomycota; Peronosporomycetes; Peronosporales; Peronosporaceae.